UAGUAAAGUCAGCUAAAU
Molecule: transfer RNA, 18 nt
Filed under: Discoglossus pictus (painted frog)
Lineage: Eukaryota; Metazoa; Chordata; Amphibia; Anura; Alytidae
Also listed under: 4 other names
Description: partial tRNA-Met
Source: RNAcentral